Molecule: ribosomal RNA, 663 nt
Filed under: Escherichia sp. BAB-5811
Lineage: Bacteria; Pseudomonadati; Pseudomonadota; Gammaproteobacteria; Enterobacterales; Enterobacteriaceae
Description: bacterial SSU rRNA
Rfam family: Bacterial small subunit ribosomal RNA
Source: RNAcentral
UUGAGGCGUGGCUUCCGGAGCUAACGCGUUAAGUCGACCGCCUGGGGAGUACGGCCGCAAGGUUAAAACUCAAAUGAAUUGACGGGGGCCCGCACAAGCGGUGGAGCAUGUGGUUUAAUUCGAUGCAACGCGAAGAACCUUACCUGGUCUUGACAUCCACGGAAGUUUUCAGAGAUGAGAAUGUGCCUUCGGGAACCGUGAGACAGGUGCUGCAUGGCUGUCGUCAGCUCGUGUUGUGAAAUGUUGGGUUAAGUCCCGCAACGAGCGCAACCCUUAUCCUUUGUUGCCAGCGGUCCGGCCGGGAACUCAAAGGAGACUGCCAGUGAUAAACUGGAGGAAGGUGGGGAUGACGUCAAGUCAUCAUGGCCCUUACGACCAGGGCUACACACGUGCUACAAUGGCGCAUACAAAGAGAAGCGACCUCGCGAGAGCAAGCGGACCUCAUAAAGUGCGUCGUAGUCCGGAUUGGAGUCUGCAACUCGACUCCAUGAAGUCGGAAUCGCUAGUAAUCGUGGAUCAGAAUGCCACGGUGAAUACGUUCCCGGGCCUUGUACACACCGCCCGUCACACCAUGGGAGUGGGUUGCAAAAGAAGUAGGUAGCUUAACCUUCGGGAGGGCGCUUACCACUUUGUGAUUCAUGACUGGGGGUGAAGUCGUAACAA